UUUCCGUAGGUGAACCUGCGGAAGGAUCAUUAAUGAUUGUGAAUAGUUACCUUUGGUGCUGGCUCCUUGCAGAGCAAGUGCACGUUGGUGGCUUUCAUCCAAUACCCAUGUGAACCUUUGGCCUCUGCUGGCUUCGGCUAGUGGAGGAAUUUUAUACACAUACUCGAAUGUAAUGAAAACUAUUGUCGUGCGCAAGCACUAAUGUACAACUUUCAACAACGGAUCUCUUGGCUCUCGCAUCGAUGAAGAACGCAGC
Molecule: unclassified non-coding RNA, 256 nt
Filed under: uncultured fungus
Lineage: Eukaryota; Fungi
Description: sequence contains ITS1, 5.8S rRNA gene
Rfam family: 5.8S ribosomal RNA (bases 208-256)
Source: RNAcentral